RNAcentral lists this transfer RNA (72 nucleotides) under Camelus ferus (Wild Bactrian camel). It matches the Rfam family "tRNA". Rfam says of the family: Transfer RNA (tRNA) molecules are approximately 80 nucleotides in length. Their secondary structure includes four short double-helical elements and three loops (D, anti-codon, and T loops). Further hydrogen bonds mediate the characteristic L-shaped molecular structure. tRNAs have two regions of fundamental functional importance: the anti-codon, which is responsible for specific mRNA codon recognition, and the 3' end, to which the tRNAs corresponding amino acid is attached (by aminoacyl-tRNA synthetases). tRNAs cope with the degeneracy of the genetic code in two manners: having more than one tRNA (with a specific anti-codon) for a particular amino acid; and 'wobble' base-pairing, i.e. permitting non-standard base-pairing at the 3rd anti-codon position. The record is from Rfam by way of RNAcentral. Lineage: Eukaryota; Metazoa; Chordata; Mammalia; Artiodactyla; Camelidae.
GAGGGUGUAGCUCAGUGGUAGAGUGCGUGCCCAGCACACACAAGGUCCUGGGUUCAAGCUCCAGUGCCCCCA